RNAcentral lists this ribosomal RNA (465 nucleotides) under uncultured bacterium. RNAcentral describes it as "partial 16S ribosomal RNA". It matches the Rfam family "Bacterial small subunit ribosomal RNA", at positions 339 to 795 of the family's 1533-position model. The record is from RNAcentral.
CUACGGGUGGCUCCAGUGGGGAAUAUUGGACAAUGGGGGAAACCCUGAUCCAGCAAUGCCGCGUGUGUGAAGAAGGCCUGCGGGUUGUAAAGCACUUUCGGUUGGGAGGACUGCUUCUAGCACUAAUAUUGUUGGAAGUUGACGUUACCUUCAGAAGAAGCACCGGCUAACUCCGUGCCAGCAGCCGUGGUAAUACGGAGGGUGCAAGCGUUAAUCGGAAUUACUGGGCGUAAAGCGCGCGUAGGCGGCUAGAUCAGUCAGGUGUGAAAGCCCCGGGCUUAACCUGGGAACUGCAUCCGAUACUGUCUAGCUUGAGUACAGGAGAGGAGAGUGGAAUUCCACAUGUAGCGGUGAAAUGCGUAGAUAUGUGGAGGAACACCAAUGGCGAAGGCAGCUCUCUGGCCUGAUACUGACGCUGAGGUGCGAAAGCGUGGGGAGCAAACAGGAUUAGAUACCCGCGUAGUC